Molecule: transfer RNA, 76 nt
Filed under: Verrucomicrobiales bacterium
Lineage: Bacteria; Pseudomonadati; Verrucomicrobiota; Verrucomicrobiia; Verrucomicrobiales
Description: tRNA-Arg
Rfam family: tRNA
About the family: Transfer RNA (tRNA) molecules are approximately 80 nucleotides in length. Their secondary structure includes four short double-helical elements and three loops (D, anti-codon, and T loops).
Source: RNAcentral
GCUCCCGUAGCUCAACUAUCAGAGUGCCGCGCUUCGAACGCGGAGGUUGCAGGUGGGAUUCCUGCCGGGAGUGCCA